This is a long non-coding RNA of Parasteatoda tepidariorum (common house spider), 525 nucleotides long. Lineage: Eukaryota; Metazoa; Arthropoda; Arachnida; Araneae; Theridiidae. The record is from RefSeq and is a predicted model, not a curated record.
AUAAUAAACUACCAAUACUAUCUGACCUCAGUUUAUAAAAAUAGACCAUUUGAAAUUUCCCUUAGAAAGAAAUUUGAAGAUACUAAUAUACUUCAAAGGACAAAGCCAUCAACAAGACAAGCAUGUAUAUUUAUCAGGUCCUCUUCUUAGUUCUUGCUAUUUUGCAACUUAGCUCAGCCGCUGAGUGCGAUAUUAGUCAGUGCGCAAUAAACAGGUUUACAAUCCAAUGCAAUCCUGGCUAUAGACCAGCCUAUGGCAUAUGCAGUUGCUGUAUUACUUGCGAAAGGGUUCUAGAGGAAGGAGAAAGUUGCCAAAUAUCAGCGCCUCAAUACGAGGAGACUACAAAUGGUGUAGUCUAUGAAAAUUAUAGCUAUCCGCAAUGUGGAUAUGGUCUAUAUUGCAGUGAGACUACCAACACUUGUCAACCUAUUGACUAUUAAUUAUUCCACAAUGCUUCAAUUUAAUCUAGAUUCCCAAGAAUUACGAUUCCACUUUUUGAAUGAAAUAAAUUUUUCAGAAACUCAA